RNAcentral lists this ribosomal RNA (294 nucleotides) under Triticum aestivum (bread wheat). Its description in RNAcentral is "partial small subunit ribosomal RNA". The record is from RNAcentral. Lineage: Eukaryota; Viridiplantae; Streptophyta; Magnoliopsida; Poales; Poaceae.
AUGCGUGUCGCGGCUCCGUCGCCGCCGCCUCCUCGCCUUCCUCUCGCGCCACGGCUUCAGCUCCACCUUCCAAGCGUUGCUCCAGGAGACGGCCGUGUUCUUCAGCGUGGAGCACCUGGAGCGCCUCGCGAGGCAGGGCCAGUGGGACGACGCCAUCAAGUACGUCGUCCGCUUCGUGCCAAAGGUCGACGCGAUGCUCGGCGAGGAGGGGAGGCUCCUCUUCAGCUUCAUCAACCUGCACAGAACCAUCCACUCCAUCUCCAUCGGUACGCCGCACGGCGCCCUUAUGACUGA